GAUGAACGCUGGCGGCGUGCCUAAUACAUGCAAGUCGAGCGAACGGACGAGAAGCUUGCUUCUCUGAUGUUAGCGGCGGACGGGUGAGUAACACGUGGAUAACCUACCUAUAAGACUGGGAUAACUUCGGGAAACCGGAGCUAAUACCGGAUGAUAUUUUGAACCGCAUGGUUCAAAAGUGAAAGACGGUCUUGCUGUCACUUAUAGAUGGAUCCGCGCUGCAUUAGCUAGUUGGUAAGGUAACGGCUUACCAAGGAAACGAUGCAUAGCCGACCUGAGAGCGUGAUCGGCCACACUGGAACUGAGACACGGUCCAGACUCCUACGGGAGGCAGCAGUAGGGAAUCUUACGCGAUGGGCGAAAGCGUGACGGAGCAACGCCGCGUGAGUGAUGAAGGUCUUCGGAUCGUAAAACUCUGUUAUUAGGGAAGAACAUAUGUGUAAGUAACUGUGCACAUCUUGACGGUACCUAAUCAGAAAGCCACGGCUAACUACGUG
This 497-nucleotide ribosomal RNA is filed under the name uncultured bacterium. RNAcentral's name for it is "partial 16S ribosomal RNA". It matches the Rfam family "Bacterial small subunit ribosomal RNA", at positions 28 to 507 of the family's 1533-position model. The record is from RNAcentral.